Ostrea edulis (European flat oyster) is the source of this 1734-nucleotide long non-coding RNA. RefSeq lists it as uncharacterized. The record is from RefSeq and is a predicted model, not a curated record. The transcript has 3 exons. Lineage: Eukaryota; Metazoa; Mollusca; Bivalvia; Ostreida; Ostreidae.
ACUUUGGGAGAAAUAAUUUCUCCUGAGUGCAACUUUAAAAGCCGCGGAAGUCUGAGAGUUCGUGUAGAUUUAUAACUACGUGUACAUUAAAACUCGUGAGGAUAGCUACUUACCAUCUGACGAGAUUAAGCAGACAGACGAUAGGUGUGCGUCACGGGUAGGAAGGGUCGUCCUGUUUACACAAGCAGACGAUAACCCCAUGUGAAAGCAAGCAGUGGGUAAUUCGGUGGAAGUUUGCCCAUAUUGUAGCUUCAGCGCGCUCAUGAGGAAAUGCUUACCAUUAACAUUUGUAAUUAUUAAAGGCAAAAACAUUGGAAAUAUGUAUGAGUGAAUUGAUGACAACAUACGCGGUAACUGAACUAUGAGUGCGUUCGAGACCGUCAUUCUUCGCAUUAGUACAAAUUCCCGUCUAUCCCGAACGUCAAGUACGCAUCACGAGAGUUGCAAGAACUCGCACCACCUCUAGCGGCCUCUGUAGGUAGUGUGGUCAAAGAACACGUUCACGGAGCACGAGAACAACGGGAAUGACGGUGUCAAACGCACUCGAGGAUUUGGGAAACUACAGAGUCCAAUAAGUGAACAACUCACUGGUUUGUGGGGGAGCCUGAUAUCGGUCUGCAAGAGCGUAUUGGUAUUCUGAAAGAAUCUCGUGAAAUUAAAAUUAAAAUCGUUGAAGACGUGAAUUGAUUGUGAAGACCAUAGACCCAGCCUUAAUCAACGACCAACUGCCUGAAAAAUCCUAUGCUAUUCGACAGAUUCUGCAUGGCUAAUAAAAGCAUUGUACUCAAAAAGAGACAAAAACUAAUCGAAGGAAAGAAUUACAUGUAUAGAAAUUUAGGAUAAAAUGAGACCUGUCAAUGAUUGUCUUUAGAGGGUUCGAUGGCCCUUGGUACAGUGACCCGUGGGAUAUCGCCAUGUUAUCGACGACACGGAAAGAAGAUGAAUUUGAUAAGAGAGCCUCUAUCGUUACACGCAACUACAACGUCAUAAUAUAUCGCUAGUAAUUCUAGAAGCACCCCCAAAUCUCUCUCAAAUUUACAAUAUAGACCACAGGCACUCGACGUUUUAAAUAUCUAAAAUAAUAAAAAAAAAAAUUCUUCCUGUUAACAUAAUAUUCACGUGAAUACAGGAAGACAAUCUUUUUAUUAUAGAUAUUUAAAACGUCGAGUGCCUUUUUCUCAGUGUAGGAUUUGAGCUAAGAUUGGUAUCUUUUCAUGUAUUGACUUUUCAAAUUUCAAACAUUUCUACACCAUUUUAUUCUGUCCAUCUCGAUGUAGUUUCUGAAGACGAUUUUUGCAUUUUAUUAGGCAUCAUAUCAAUGAAAGUCUGGGUUGAGGUAAAUCUAAGGUUUUCAUCUCCAGAGCUUAAAGCCUGACAGUUUUAUCUGAUUUAAGGAGUUUGUGUGCUGUUUAUUGCCUUUAUGUUGUUGUGUGACGUAUCACAUCUUCUUUAUUAGUUAUGAAAAUUGUCCUCAGAAAUUGACAAAGGAGAAUGACCUUGAAGCGAUCAUUCAGUCCCUUUCACCUUUCUCAUUGAUCUUCGGUAAUUUUACUGUACGCUGAGAAUAAUGUGCGACAACAUGUAAUUUUCGUGUCUUAUUUCUAUAAUUUUCUUGGUGUUCCGUACAACAAGAGUCCUUCAACCUUGUGAAAAGAUAUAAAUAAAAUCUGGUAGAUUACAUGCUUCAUGUGAUGAUAUGCCAACAUGUUUUUGUGAAAUAGAUACAAUAUCAAA